ACGCGUCAAUUAUCUCCUCGCUCGUCUCCGUCGGUGAAUGGACGAGCUUAACUUCCACGCCGCCUUCGAGGCAAUCAAGAUACUCAACGCCAGCGAGGGACCUGCCUCUAACAUCUUUGAGCCGAAGUUCGAGGCGCGCCACCAAGCGGAGCAGCUGCGUGACACGAUCGUUAAUGUCUACCGCGACGAGGCCUCAUCGCGCGCGCUUGAGCAACUGUGCCGAUGCCUUGUGCUCAUCGGCACGACAAUGAUGGAGGUAGAGGAGGAAGAGGAAGGCUACAAGGAGGUUUGCCGUGCUUAUCAGGUGAUGCAGUGGUGCGUGACGGCCGCGUUGCCAUCCAUCGAUGCCGUUCGCAACGUGCAGGCGGUGGAGCAGGAUGCCAUUCUCAACACCACCUCAGCCGAGUGCACAGUUGCAGCGUCUUCUGGGUAUCCAGGGUGCGUGGGGUACAUGGCCGUGCACAACGCACUCGGUUUUUACUUUUCGAAAGCGGACCUGGGCAAAGCCAAGACGGUGCUAGACCGAGCAGAGGCCCUGUACAACGAGUGGGCUGCUUGGUGGGAAGGCCAGCCAGCCCACUGCGACAUUGCAGAGGUGCCCGUCAGCGAAGACGGCACCCUCCGCACUGGCGAGAUCUCGGCUGACCGCGCGGCGCCGAUACUCCUGCGCUUCUACAUGGACAGCAGCUACACCGCUACGCUCUUCUUCAUGGCACAGCUGCACACCGCACAGCAGAACGCUGCCACCGCCUCCCAGUACUGCCAUCGUACCUUGCACUACCAGCUUCUGAGCAAGCAGGAGUUCAACCGGAAAUCGUGGGCUACCAACGCGCUUCAGCUCAGCGGAUUCUACAGCAGCUACUUCGCCUACGACAAGGCGUUUCACUGCCUCGUUGCCGGGCAGAAGAUGAUGCCGGCCAGCGAGGAGCCAGAGGAGUCCAAGGGACUGGUCGCGUGGGCCUUUGGUCGUUUCUUUCUUCAUCGCCUGCACCACUAUGGUAGACUCCUCACAGGUGGUGAGCCAGACAGCGAGAAGGAUGGCAUGCUCGCGCAGCUGGAGAAAUCUUGGCGUGACUUCCCUGGGAUGCCGCCGCUGCAGCCCCAGCCGCCUAUCAUCACCUUCGAUGAGGCGCGCGAGUGCUUUAAGGAAGGAAUCAAGUGGCUGCAGGAGGCGCAGGCGUGCCGUCCCUUUGAGUCGUUUUGCACCGAGCACAUCGACAUUGCGCGUGAUAUGGUGCAGCUGUACGCUGCGCUGCAGUUAUUCGAGCCGAAUCGCGCACGCCGCAUCGCCAUGAUGCAGCGGCAGGCACACCUGCUCGAAGAGUUUCCAGAUCAGCUCAGCUUCAACGCAUACCCAGUGGUAGUGCGACAGCUGUUGUACGACCUCGGCUCUCUCUACGAGGACCAGAUGCGGCUGCGGGUACAGCAGCGCAAACAACCACAGCCCGAUGAGAAGCCGCUCACCAACAAUGCGUUCAACGCAGUGGUGCGCAAGACGUUGGGGUACUACGAACGCUUCUGCGAAACAUGGCGCCAUCCCACGACGCAUGCCAUUCCAGAUGUGCUGGAAGAGGACUCACGCGUGCCCUUCUUCAGGGCCCUGAUGCGUCGUGCCCAGGUGCAGCUCAGCUACGCAUACCGCACCCCGAAGGAGGAGUAUGACGGCAUCGGCGUGUCGUGCAAGGCCUACAGUCGCGCCAUUGACUUCUAUGAGAAGAACCCGCUCUCGAAGGAGCUGGACGCCGAGGUAUCGAAGGAGGUCGAGCUGGCCCGCGAGAUGCUGAAGCUGCUACCGGUGAAGCAGCGUGACCUGUGGACUGCGUAUCAGCGCAACUCCGCGUAGGGGUGUUUUACACGGACCGGAUGGCAUGGAAUGACAAGUAGAGUUGCUGGGCAAGCUGCAGGCGCAGGCUACCGCCAUACAGGAAGUCACCCGUGCACUCUACGGCAAAUCCGCGGGCUUGGGCAGCGGCAGCGGCUUCAACGUCGCCCAAGACGAAUAAAUUUGCGACUUCGUCGAAGAAACGCAGCGCAUCGAUGCAGCACUUGAAAGGAUCUAGUUUGGUGUGCAGCGCGUCGAUGAGAACGCGCAGGCCAUUCAACACCAGCUCGGCACGCAGGAGAGAAUGCAGCAACGCAUGAAUAAGGCAGCGAAGAACGAGGCGAAGAUGGCAAGCAUGAGACGGAAGUUGCAGCGCAUGAUCGAGAGGCUUGGCAAGUCUCGUCUGAUAACGUAUGCAGUACUUUGCGUCAUCCUUAUCGUGCUCAUCAGUGUGAUUAUCUUUCUGGGUAAGCCGCUCUAGGGAGAGGGAGGUGUCGAGUCGUGGAGAUGGCCGACUGGGCACAAGGAGCCUUGUGCUGCUACUGCCACGGUGUGGUAAUGGCUGCUGCGGCCCGGACAUCUUCGGUGAGGGUGCACUGCCUGCGUAUGUGUGUGUGUGUGGGGGGGGCGUGUGUGGAAGGGCGAGCACCCUGCCACGGCAUUUCAAUCGUACGGGAGGCUGCCGUGCGAGCAGCAACGCCGACACCACGUGAAGCUUCACAGCAACC
This 2550-nucleotide unclassified non-coding RNA is filed under the name Leishmania donovani. Its description in RNAcentral is "gene:LdHU3.25.2670(CDS-product:KIF-1_binding_prot ein_C_inal_putative)". The record is from RNAcentral. Lineage: Eukaryota; Euglenozoa; Kinetoplastea; Trypanosomatida; Trypanosomatidae.